RNAcentral lists this ribosomal RNA (731 nucleotides) under uncultured Lachnospiraceae bacterium. Its description in RNAcentral is "bacterial SSU rRNA". It matches the Rfam family "Bacterial small subunit ribosomal RNA", at positions 28 to 760 of the family's 1533-position model. The record is from RNAcentral. Lineage: Bacteria; Bacillati; Bacillota; Clostridia; Lachnospirales; Lachnospiraceae.
GAUGAACGCUGGCGGCGUGCUUACACAUGCAAGUCGAACGAAGCACUUAUCUUUGAUUCUUCGGAUGAAGAGGUUUGUGACUGAGUGGCGGACGGGUGAGUAACGCGUGGGUAACCUGCCUCAUACAGGGGGAUAACAGUUAGAAAUGACUGCUAAUACCGCAUAAGACCACAGAGCCGCAUGGCUCAGUGGGAAAAACUCCGGUGGUAUGAGAUGGACCCGCGUCUGAUUAGGUAGUUGGUGGGGUAACGGCCUACCAAGCCAACGAUCAGUAGCCGACCUGAGAGGGUGACCGGCCACAUUGGGACUGAGACACGGCCCAAACUCCUACGGGAGGCAGCAGUGGGGAAUAUUGCACAAUGGGGGAAACCCUGAUGCAGCGACGCCGCGUGAGCGAAGAAGUAUUUCGGUAUGUAAAGCUCUAUCAGCAGGGGAGAAAAUGACGGUACCUGACUAAGAAGCACCGGCUAAAUACGUGCCAGCAGCCGCGGUAAUACGUAUGGUGCAAGCGUUAUCCGGAUUUACUGGGUGUAAAGGGAGCGUAGACGGCUGUGUAAGUCUGAAGUUAAAGCCCGGGGCUCAACCCCGGGACUGCUUUGGAAACUAUGCAGCUAGAGUGUCGGAGAGGUAAGUGGAAUUCCCAGUGUAGCGGUGAAAUGCGUAGAUAUUGGGAGGAACACCAGUGGCGAAGGCGGCUUACUGGACGAUGACUGACGUUGAGGCUCGAAAGC